GACGAACGCUGGCGGCAGGCCUAACACAUGCAAGUCGAACGAGCGGCGGACGGGUGAGUAAUGUCUGGGAAACUGCCUGAUGGAGGGGGAUAACUACUGGAAACGGUAGCUAAUACCGCAUACCAUCGGAUGUGCCCAUAUGGGAUUGGCUUGUAGGUGGGGUAAAGGCUCACCAAGGCGACGAUCCCUAGCUGGUCUGAGCGGAUGACCAGCCACACUGGAACGGAGACACGGUCCAGACUCCUACGAGAGGCAGCAGUGGGGAAUAUUGCACAAUGGGCGAAAGCCUGAUGCAGCCAUGCCGCGUGUAUGAAGAAGGCCUUCGGGUUGUAAAGUACUUUCAGCGGGGAGGCGUUACCCGCAGAAGAAGCACCGGCUAACUCCGUGCCAGCAGCCGCGGUAAUAC
Molecule: ribosomal RNA, 406 nt
Filed under: uncultured bacterium
Lineage: Bacteria
Description: partial 16S ribosomal RNA
Rfam family: Bacterial small subunit ribosomal RNA
Source: RNAcentral